Hemibagrus wyckioides is the source of this 411-nucleotide long non-coding RNA. RefSeq lists it as uncharacterized. Lineage: Eukaryota; Metazoa; Chordata; Actinopteri; Siluriformes; Bagridae. The record is from RefSeq and is a predicted model, not a curated record. The transcript has 3 exons.
UUUCAUGUCACAGGGCACACAAUGUUCACCCUUUUUCUCAGACACCCAAAACUGGCCUGUGAUUGACAAGGAGAAGCAAUAUGAGAGAGCAAGAUCUCACUGUUGUGCUCAGAUCUUCAAGAUCAUCCUACUGAUCAUAAAGUGCACAGUAUUACAGCCUAUGCAGUGAGUGGAUAUGAAUCCAGAUGUAACCAUGUGUCAGGAGUCGUGGGUAAAUCAAUAAGCAGGUGAUUCACUCUGCCAUGCAGAAGCCCUGACCAGCGAACUUCCUCUUCCGGACAGACAGGAAACUCAGUCACUUCCACAGCCUGGGUCCGAGCAGGAAAUGUCUCAGAGAUGAAACUUCAUUCAAUUGUCCACUGACUGCCUGUGAGUGUGUUUAAAGGUUUUCUUCAAGUCGAUGUUACUCAC